RNAcentral lists this ribosomal RNA (253 nucleotides) under uncultured bacterium. RNAcentral's name for it is "partial 16S ribosomal RNA". It matches the Rfam family "Bacterial small subunit ribosomal RNA", at positions 524 to 776 of the family's 1533-position model. The record is from RNAcentral.
GACGAACCGUGCAAACGUUGUUCGGAAUCACUGGGCUUAAAGGGCGCGUAGGCGGCUCGCCAAGUCGGGGGUGAAAUCUUUCGGCUCAACCGGAAAAGUGCCUUCGAUACUGGCGGGCUGGAGGGAGGUAGGGGCAUGUGGAACUUCGGGUGGAGCGGUGAAAUGCGUUGAUAUCCGAAGGAACGCCGGUGGCGAAAGCGACGUGCUGGAUCUCUUCUGACGCUGAGGCGCGAAAGCUAGGGGAGCGAACGGG